This 446-nucleotide ribosomal RNA is filed under the name uncultured bacterium. Its description in RNAcentral is "partial 16S ribosomal RNA". It matches the Rfam family "Bacterial small subunit ribosomal RNA", at positions 338 to 795 of the family's 1533-position model. The record is from RNAcentral.
CCUACGGGUGGCAGCAGUCGAGAAUCAUUCACAAUGGGGGAAACCCUGAUGGUGCGACGCCGCGUGGGGGAAUGAAGGUCUUCGGAUUGUAAACCCCUGUCAUGUGGGAGCAAAUUAAAAAGAUAGUACCACAAGAGGAAGAGACGGCUAACUCUGUGCCAGCAGCCGCGGUAAUACAGAGGUCUCAAGCGUUGUUCGGCAUCACUGGGCGUAAGGCGUGCGUAGGCUGUUUCGUAAGUCGUGUGUGAAAGGCGCGGGCUCAACCCGCGGACGGCACAUGAUACUGCGAGACUAGAGUAAUGGAGGGGGAACCGGAAUUCUCGGUGUAGCAGUGAAAUGCGUAGAUAUCGAGAGGAACACUCGUGGCGAAGGCGGGUUCCUGGACAUUAACUGACGCUGAGGCACGAAGGCCAGGGGAGCGAAAGGGAUUAGAUACCCCGGUAGUC